ACGAAAUGAAAAGUCAAUCUUCGAAAUCGAACGCGUCUACAUGUUUAAUCUUGUCUUCAUCAUCAUCUAAAGGAAGUAAAAAAUGGAGAUUCAAAGAUUUUUUCUUGUUUAGGAGUGCAUCCGAAGGAAGAGCAUCAGAUAAAGAUCCAUUAAAGAAAUAUACAGCUGCUGGUUACAGAGAAGGCAAAAAUUCGACUUCUCGGGGAAAUGAAAGCUCUGUUUCUUCUCCAUCAAAAUCAAUUGUUAGAACAAAAAAGGGAAAAGUUUCAGCUCAUGAAUUG
This 281-nucleotide unclassified non-coding RNA is filed under the name Hevea brasiliensis (rubber tree). The record is from RNAcentral. Lineage: Eukaryota; Viridiplantae; Streptophyta; Magnoliopsida; Malpighiales; Euphorbiaceae.